This 498-nucleotide ribosomal RNA is filed under the name uncultured bacterium. RNAcentral describes it as "partial 16S ribosomal RNA". It matches the Rfam family "Bacterial small subunit ribosomal RNA", at positions 28 to 523 of the family's 1533-position model. The record is from RNAcentral.
GACGAACGCUGGCGGCGUGCCUAACACGUGCAAGUCGAGCGGAGUCAGUAAGAGGAAGUUUUCGGAUGGAAUCUUAUUGAUUUAGCGGCGGACGGGUGAGUAACGCGUGAGCGACCAACCUUGCACAGGGGGAUAACGGACCGAAAGGUUCACUAAUACCGCAUGAGACCACGGUGUUGCAUGACACAGAGGUCAAAGGAGCGAUCCGGUGAGAGAGGGGCUCGCGUCCGAUUAGGUAGUUGGCGGGGUAACGGCCCACCAAGCCAAAGAUCGGUAGCCGGCCUGAGAGGGUGAACGGCCACAUUGGAACUGAGAGACGGUCCAAACUCCUACGGGAGGCAGCAGUGGGGAAUAUUGGGCAAUGGGGGAAACCCUGACCCAGCAACGCCGCGUGAGGGAAGAAGGUUUUCGGAUUGUAAACCUCUGUUCUUGGUGAAGAGAAGAAGACGGUAGCCAAGGAGGAAGCCCCGGCUAACUACGUGCCAGCCGCCGCGGUAA